AUGAACGCUGGCGGCGUGCCUAACACAUGCAAGUCGAACGGAGAUUACGGACGGAAGUUUUCGGAUGGAAGCCUGUAAUUCUUAGUGGCGGACGGGUGAGUAACGCGUGGGCAACCUGCCCUAUACAGGGGGAUAGCAGCUGGAAACGGCUGGUAAGACCGCAUAAGUCGGUUAAAUCGCAUGAUUUGAUCGGGAAAUGAGCAAUCAGGUAUAGGAUGGGCCCGCGUCCGAUUAGCCAGUUGGCAGGGUAAAAGCCUACCAAAGCGACGAUCGGUAGCCGGACUGAGAGGUCGGACGGCCACAUUGGGACUGAGACACGGCCCAAACUCCUACGGGAAGCAGCAGUGGGGGAUAUUGCACAAUGGAGGAAACUCUGAUGCAGCGACGCCGCGUGAGUGAAGAAGUAUUUCGGUAUGUAAAGCUCUAUCAGCAGGGAAGAUGAUGACGGUACCUGACUAAGAAGCCCCGGCUAACUACGUG
RNAcentral lists this ribosomal RNA (480 nucleotides) under uncultured bacterium. RNAcentral describes it as "partial 16S ribosomal RNA". It matches the Rfam family "Bacterial small subunit ribosomal RNA", at positions 29 to 507 of the family's 1533-position model. The record is from RNAcentral.